Molecule: ribosomal RNA, 300 nt
Filed under: Bacillus pseudomycoides
Lineage: Bacteria; Bacillati; Bacillota; Bacilli; Caryophanales; Bacillaceae
Description: bacterial SSU rRNA
Rfam family: Bacterial small subunit ribosomal RNA
Source: RNAcentral
GGAUAACUCCGGGAAACCGGGGCUAAUACCGGAUAACAUUUUGCACCGCAUGGUGCGAAAUUGAAAGGCGGCUUCGGCUGUCACUUAUAGAUGGACCUGCGGCGCAUUAGCUAGUUGGUGAGGUAACGGCUCACCAAGGCGACGAUGCGUAGCCGACCUGAGAGGGUGAUCGGCCACACUGGGACUGAGACACGGCCCAGACUCCUACGGGAGGCAGCAGUAGGGAAUCUUCCGCAAUGGACGAAAGUCUGACGGAGCAACGCCGCGUGAGCGAUGAAGGCCUUCGGGUCGUAAAGCUCU